AACCUGCCCUUUAGUGGGGGACAACAGUUGGAAACGACUGCUAAUACCCUAUACUCCUUCUUACUAUAAGGUAAGUUGGGAAAGAUUUAUCGCUAAAGGAUGGGGCUUUAUUGUAUCAGCUAGUUGGUGGGGUAAUGGCCUACCAAGGCUAUGACGCAUACCUGGUCUGAGAGGAUGAUCAGGCACACUGGAACUGAGACACGGUCCAGACUCCUACGGGAGGCAGCAGUGGGGAAUAUUGCACAAUGGAGGAAACUCUGAUGCAGCAACGCCGCGUGGAGGAUGACGCAUUUCGGUGUGUAAACUCCUUUUAUAGGGGAAGAUAAUGACGGUACCCUAUGAAUAAGCACCGGCUAACUCCGUGCCAGCAGCCGCGGUAAUACGGAGGGUGCAAGCGUUACUCGGAAUCACUGGGCGUAAAGGAUGCGUAGGCUGGAAAUCAAGUCGAGAGUGAAAUCCAACGGCUCAACCGUUGAACUGCUCUCGAAACUGGUUACCUAGAAUAUGGGAGAGGUAGAUGGAAUUAGUGGUGUAGGGGUAAAAUCCGUAGAUAUCACUAGGAAUACCGAUUGCGAAGGCGAUCUACUGGAACAUUAUGACG
RNAcentral lists this ribosomal RNA (601 nucleotides) under uncultured bacterium. RNAcentral describes it as "bacterial SSU rRNA". It matches the Rfam family "Bacterial small subunit ribosomal RNA", at positions 123 to 745 of the family's 1533-position model. The record is from RNAcentral.